This 616-nucleotide ribosomal RNA is filed under the name uncultured Legionella sp. RNAcentral describes it as "bacterial SSU rRNA". It matches the Rfam family "Bacterial small subunit ribosomal RNA", at positions 242 to 849 of the family's 1533-position model. The record is from RNAcentral. Lineage: Bacteria; Pseudomonadati; Pseudomonadota; Gammaproteobacteria; Legionellales; Legionellaceae.
UAGCUAGUUGGUGGGGUAAGGGCCUACCAAGGCGACGAUCGGUAGCUGGUCUGAGAGGAUGACCAGCCACACUGGAACUGAGACACGGUCCAGACUCCUACGGGAGGCAGCAGUGGGGAAUAUUGGACAAUGGGGGCAUCCCUGAUCCAGCAAUGCCGCGUGUGUGAAGAAGGCCUGAGGGUUGUAAAGCACUUUCAGUGGGGAGGAGGGUUGAUAGGUUAAGAGCUGAUUAACUGGACGUUACCCACAGAAGAAGCACCGGCUAACUCCGUGCCAGCAGCCGCGGUAAUACGGAGGGUGCGAGCGUUAAUCGGAAUUACUGGGCGUAAAGGGUGCGUAGGUGGUUGAUUAAGUUAUCUGUGAAAUUCCUGGGCUUAACCUGGGACGGUCAGAUAAUACUGGUUGACUCGAGUAUGGGAGAGGGUAGUGGAAUUUCCGGUGUAGCGGUGAAAUGCGUAGAGAUCGGAAGGAACACCAGUGGCGAAGGCGGCUACCUGGCCUAAUACUGACACUGAGGCACGAAAGCGUGGGGAGCAAACAGGAUUAGAUACCCUGGUAGUCCACGCUGUAAACGAUGUCAACUAGCUGUUGGUUAUAUGAAAAUAAUUAGUGGCGC